GAUGAACGCUGGCGGCGUGCCUAAUACAUGCAAGUCGAGCGAACGGACGAGAAGCUUGCUUCUCUGAUGUUAGCGGCGGACGGGUGAGUAACACGUGGAUAACCUACCUAUAAGACUGGGAUAACUUCGGGAAACCGGAGCUAAUACCGGAUGAUAUUUUGAACCGCAUGGUUCAAAAGUGAAAGACGGUCUUGCUGUCACUUAUAGAUGGAUCCGCGCUGCAUUAGCUAGUUGGUAAGGUAACGGCUUACCAAGGCAACGAUGCAUAGCCGACCUGAGAGAGUGAUCGGCCACACUGGAACUGAGACACGGUCCAGACUCCUACGGGAGGCAGCAGUAGGGAAUCUUCCGCAAUGGGCGAAAGCCUGACGGAGCAACGCCGCGUGAGUGAUGACGGUCUUCGGAUCGUAAAACUCUGUUAUUAGGGAAGAACAUAUGUGUAAGUAACUGUGCACAUCUUGACGGUACCUAAUCAGAAAGCCACGGCUAACUACGUG
RNAcentral lists this ribosomal RNA (497 nucleotides) under uncultured bacterium. RNAcentral describes it as "partial 16S ribosomal RNA". It matches the Rfam family "Bacterial small subunit ribosomal RNA", at positions 28 to 507 of the family's 1533-position model. The record is from RNAcentral.